GGGGUUGUGGCUCAGUGGUAGAGUGCUUGCCUGGCAAGUGUGGGGCACUGGGUUCAAUUCUCAGCACCACUU
Molecule: non-coding RNA, 72 nt
Organism: Ictidomys tridecemlineatus (thirteen-lined ground squirrel)
Lineage: Eukaryota; Metazoa; Chordata; Mammalia; Rodentia; Sciuridae
Source: Rfam